AGACCUCACUCUGCAAAAUUUGGUUGCAAAAAAACUUUUUUAAAUUGCCCUAACAUUCUAUCAGGCACCUUGUGUGCAUAAGAGAAUUUUGCAAGCUCUUAAAGAUGCAUUAGGGACUUGCUUGCCUCGCUAAAUCAGCAUGUCCACUAGCAUUCUUUGCUCAUUAGCCUAACCAUGUUGAGUUGCAUUUGCAGCAGGGCCAACUAAGGAAGUUUGGCAUUGCAUCGAGCACCUGGUGCGCGUGCCCGGAGCGCGAGCAGAGCGCGCACAUUGUACACACCCGCGUCGAGCCGCCGCGUCGACUUACCACGCCCUCCCACUCGCCCCGGCCUUUCCCCUGCUCGCAGAGCCGCUCCAAUGCCCUCUCUCCUGACCAUCACCUCGUGCCUUGCAACACCGCCGCUGUAGCUCCUUGGCGGCACGUCGUCGUCUGCAGCCACCUCUGCCCUGGUCGGCUCUGCCAAAGCCUCCUCCGCUCACCAGCUGCCCCUUGGAACGGUCUUAGAGCUUGUCCACAAGUUCCUAGCCAUGUUGGCCUCGCCACGCCGCCCCUCCGACGACAGUAGCGGUGAACCACCAUGGUUGCAGCGAACCAACCUUCCCCCUCCUAUAAAUAGGACGCCUCAAACUCCCUCCGCUCGGCAUCAACACAUCUCCAGCCGUAGAAAUCCUUCCCUAGAACCAAUUCAAUCAAAGCUCGUCGUCUUCCCCCUCUCGUGCAACCAUGCCCGCCGCCACUCUCUGGUCAAAUUCCAGUGCACCAACGCCCUUCCCCCUCAAUUUCCUCCUCCAACAGCACCCUAGUGCACCAACCGUUCCAUCCCACAAGCUCAAUUUGGUCGGAGAUGGACCAAAGGAGGAAAAGCCGAUUUUGGUUCCGCCACAAAUUCUCGGAUGAGCUCACCGACGACGACUCCGUCCACCACGGCGACCUCACUACACCUCUGCAUGAUCGCGGAGAGCCCUUGAAUUCGAUGGUGUGGUCGUCGUCCAUCGUCGUGCUCCCCAUCACUGGCGAGGAUCGCCAGAGGUCGCACUCCGCUCGGCCAGAUAAGGAGAUGGCGAGUUGGACUCCUCAAAUCUGACAAGUGGGCGAGAAAGACCCACUGUUAGCGACACACACACCGCGUGUUGGUUUAAGUGGAGGCGUAUUUACACAGAAUCGCGAUAUUAGGGAGGAGCAUUAAGACGACAACCCCGCAACCUAGGCAUGGAAGAUAGCAGCCACACGAGAUGGGAGCUAUCCAGGUCAGCUGUUCAUGUGGAAAAUGGAGUCUCAUAGACGGUUGAGAUCCAUGAAACGCUUCCACCAUCAGUCACUAGAAAUCUUUAUUGUACUCCAUAGACCAUCAUGUUCUUGUACGCCAAAUUUUAUAUUGCUUGGAAUUUUUUUAUCAA
Molecule: long non-coding RNA, 1398 nt
Organism: Hordeum vulgare subsp. vulgare (domesticated barley)
Lineage: Eukaryota; Viridiplantae; Streptophyta; Magnoliopsida; Poales; Poaceae
Exons: 2
Source: RefSeq, a predicted model, not a curated record